Molecule: ribosomal RNA, 460 nt
Filed under: uncultured bacterium
Lineage: Bacteria
Description: partial 16S ribosomal RNA
Rfam family: Bacterial small subunit ribosomal RNA
Source: RNAcentral
CCUACGUGAGGCUGCAGUGAGGAAUAUUGGUCAAUGGGCGCGAGCCUGAACCAGCCAAGUAGCGUGAAGGAUGACUGCCCUACGGGUUGUAAACUUCUUUUAUAAAGGAAUAAAGUGAGGCACGUGUGCCUUUUUGUCUGUACUUUAUGAAUAAGGAUCGGCUAACUCCGUGCCAGCAGCCGCGGUAAUACGGAGGAUCCGAGCGUUAUCCGGAUUUAUUGGGUUUAAAGGGAGCGUAGAUGGGUUGUUAAGUCAGUUGUGAAAGUUUGCGGCUCAACCGUAAAAUUGCAAUUGAUACUGGCAGUCUUGAGUACAGUUGAGGGAGGCGGAAUUCGUGGUGUAGCGGUGAAAUGCUUAGAUAUCACGAAGAACUCCGAUUGCGAAGGCAGCUUACUAAACUGCCACUGACAUUGAUGCUCGAAAGUGUGGGUAUCAAACAGGAUUAGAUACCCUAGUAGUC